This 1455-nucleotide long non-coding RNA is filed under the name Homo sapiens (human). Its description in RNAcentral is "HSALNT0216824". The record is from RNAcentral. Lineage: Eukaryota; Metazoa; Chordata; Mammalia; Primates; Hominidae.
ACGCUGCGUCAGGGCCGCGCCCCGCGCGACGUCGCUGCCUCGCGGCCCCGCCCCCAGGCCCGACAUCCUCGAAGCUGCUCGAGCUUCUGCCCAGCAACCGGCGCGAGCCGCGCGCUGUGCAGAGGUAGCCGUGGAAGGCGGCUCCCGGCGCUGGCAGGCGGCCGCCCCCAGACCCGCAGUGCCAUGCGCAGGUGCUUGCGCCCGUUCUUCAGUUAGCGAUCUUUUGGUUAGGAACGCAGGUGGACCUGCUUGUUUGGCCAUUUGCAUUCCGGAGUCUGCCUCUGGCCGCGGCCUGUGGGAUGGUCGUUGGGCUUCCUCGUUCGUUCAGAUGCUUCGCGAUUUAGCUUGCUACGGACGCCAGCAGCCAGCGCUUGCAGAGAGCGCGGUCCACUCUGCUCUGAGGGCUUUACAGGGGCAGGCGCUGCUAUUUCCCGGCAUUUUCCUCGAGGAAAUAGGCACAGAGAGGUUAGUCGCGCGCUGAAGGUCACACAGCCGGCGGGUGGGCAAGUCAGGAUCUGGCCCUGGGCCUGCAGCCCUGGAGCUUGGGCCCCAGGGCGCGCCCUGCCUCUGUGGCUCUGCCUGUGGAUCGCAGUCGCAGGCUCGCUCCUUGUGGGGCCUCUAGCCUCCCGGCCUGGGGCUAAUCCUGGGAGGUGCGUGGCAUGGGGCACUGGCUUUGCUGAUGAGGAGACCAGACUUCAGAGGCCGUGUCACCUGGCCUGGGCCGCACAGCUGGUGCAUGCCAAGCUCGCGUGCAGACGAAGCUCCAGAGGCCUGGCUGUCAGGAGGGUUCCUCCCCGAGGACACACACGCAACCUCCUGGACCGCCAGGCUUUAGACUUUUAAAACUUCCAUAUGCAGGAAACCCCACAGGACGCAGCCAGCAUCUCGGGUCAUGGGUGCACCUGUCACCGCAGUCCUGGGCUAAACAGUGAACAGGAGCUCUGUGUCUCUGUGGUCGUUACAGUUGUAGUGAAUGUUCCCUGGGAGAGUCCUCUUCAGAAGAUAUUUGCGGUAUUUUCAACAAAGGACUCUCCAGGAUGGAGGAGCAACUACAAGUCAGGAAGGAAAAGGCUGACAACCCAGUUUUUUAAAAAACGGGCAAAGGACGUGAACAGACACCAUGCAAUGGCCCAGAGUGCACAAAUCAUCAUUUCUCCCAGGAAUGGGGUGCCCGAGCCCCCAGGCGGCUGAACUUGAGACUUGUCACGUAGUGUUGGUGGAAUGCAGAGCAGCUGGAGAUCACCUGCUGCAGACCCGUGCCUGUAUAUUCCACGCUUUGCGCACCUGCUGGAAUUCGGGGAGAAGAACCACGAGGUGUCCAUGACUGCCCUGAGGCUCCUACAGAGGAUGAAGCGGGACUGGAUGCACACAGGCCGGCGCCCCUCGGGCCUCUGCGGAGCAGCGCUCCUGGUUGCAGCCAGAAUGCAUGACUUCAGGAGGACUGUGAAGGAGGUC